UACGUAGGGUGCAAGCGUUAAUCGGAAUUACUGGGCGUAAAGCGUGCGCAGGCGGUGAUGUAAGACAGGUGUGAAAUCCCCGGGCUUAACCUGGGAACUGCAUUUGUGACUGCAUCGCUGGAGUGCGGCAGAGGGGGAUGGAAUUCCGCGUGUAGCAGUGAAAUGCGUAGAUAUGCGGAGGAACACCGAUGGCGAAGGCAAUCCCCUGGGCCUGCACUGACGCUGAGGAGCGAAAGCGUGGGGAGCGAACAGG
Molecule: ribosomal RNA, 253 nt
Filed under: uncultured bacterium
Lineage: Bacteria
Description: partial 16S ribosomal RNA
Rfam family: Bacterial small subunit ribosomal RNA
Source: RNAcentral